CCCAGUAAGCGGAUCCUCAUUCCUCAGUAGCUCCUGUUAGAAAAGCUCCCAAAAAAACCCAGUGCAAAGUGUUCUUCUUUCUGGGUAAGAAUUUCAUAUUAUUAUUGUUUUCCCCCUUAAAUACAUCCAUCUUCUGUAGUUUUUUGUUGGCUUUUGAUUGACGGGUCUCCGUUUUUUCUUCCAUUUAAAAUGUCGUGCUUUUGGGUUUUGCUUCUCUUUAGAAGGUUUAAUGGUUGAGUCUUGAUUUACGUGGAUUGAUGUGGUUGUUAUUAUCUUUUCGUUAUCAGAAUUUCUAUGGCAAAUGUAGUACAGCGCACAAAGGCGGAUCCAAAAUUUAAGCUUUUAUGAGUUAUGGAUUCUAGAACAACGAAUUUAAGUGCUAGUAACUGAGUUCAAAAUUAAAAUUUUGUACAUAUUUAAAGAAUUUCAAAAUUGUUGGAUUCUGCCGAACCUGUAUCCUGAAAGCUAUCUACCUACACCCCUGUGUGCAGAGGCAGAUCCUGGAUUUGAUCUUUUAUCGGUUUGAGUUUGAAAUUGUACCACAACCCAUUAGAUUUAACGAUUCAAAAUCUAUUACUUGUACUUGUUUAGUGAAUCUUCUUACGCAUAUACAAUGUCUAUGCUAAAGCUAUUGAGUUUGGAUGAAUCCAUAACUUGAUUCUACAUCCACCCUUGACAACAUCAUGAUAUGUGCUGGACACAACAACAACAACAACAACACAGUAGAAUCCCACUGGUGGGGGAAGGGUAGAGUGUAUGAACACCUUACCUCCUGAGUUUUAAUCCUGAAGGUGAACUAAGUCUAGUAUUUAUUUAGAGGGGUAGAGGCGUGCUCCUGUUAUCCACAGAGUAUCCAAAUUGAAAACACCAGAUUUCGUGGUUAUGAAAAAAAUCUGUGGAUGAUUGGGUACAAUUUCCAUGAUUUUCCAUCAACCCACGAUUUGGAUUUUGGAAUAAAUGAAGAGAUCUCUGAAUUAGUGACUUGUGUUUUUUAAUUAUGUUUGACUAACGUAGUUUUCUAAAUGAUGAAAUUAUCAUGUCUGAUGAGAUUCUCAAAUUAUGUUGAAUUGGUAGGCAAAAUCUGAAAUAUGGAAAUUAAGUUGGGGUGGAGCGUCAUUUGGAUGCAAGGCUGCAAAUACCCUAUGCUUGUUUGUACACAAUGGCCCUUUAGUUGAAUUUCUGUUUAAGGUUUCAGUAUGUCUAUUCACUCGGUAAAGUUUAACAUGAAUAUGCAGUUUGUGACUGUAGGAG
RNAcentral lists this long non-coding RNA (1251 nucleotides) under Nicotiana tabacum (common tobacco). RNAcentral's name for it is "long non-coding RNA (NTAB_LNC005170)". Lineage: Eukaryota; Viridiplantae; Streptophyta; Magnoliopsida; Solanales; Solanaceae. The record is from RNAcentral.